AAUGGGCGAAAGCCUGACGCAGCGACGCCGCGUGGGGGAUGAAGCUUCUCGGAGUGUAAACCCCUUUCGACCCGGACGAAUGUCCCGCAAGGGAUUGACGGUACGGGUAUAAGAAGCCCCGGCUAACUACGUGCCAGCAGCCGCGGUAAGACGUAGGGGGCCAGCGUUGCUCGGAAUUACUGGGCGUAAAGGGUUCGUAGGCGGUGUGGCAAGUCGGAAGUGAAAUCUCCAGGCUUAACUUGGAGGCUGCUCCCGAAACUGCCAUGCUUGAGUGCGGGAGAGGCGAGUGGAAUUGCAGGUGUAGCGGUGAAAUGCGUAGAUAUCUGCAGGAACACCCGUGGCGAAGGCGGCUCGCUGGACCGCAACUGACGCUGAGGAACGAAAGCUAGGGGAGCAAACAGGAUUAGAUACCCUGGUAGUCCUAGCCCUAAACGAUCAGGACUUGGGGUGCAUCCCGUUGGGGGUGCGUCCCGUAGCUAACGCGUUAAGUCCUGCGCCUGGGGAGUACGGU
RNAcentral lists this ribosomal RNA (511 nucleotides) under uncultured bacterium. RNAcentral describes it as "bacterial SSU rRNA". It matches the Rfam family "Bacterial small subunit ribosomal RNA", at positions 370 to 886 of the family's 1533-position model. The record is from RNAcentral.